This 1285-nucleotide long non-coding RNA is filed under the name Marmota monax (woodchuck). Lineage: Eukaryota; Metazoa; Chordata; Mammalia; Rodentia; Sciuridae. The record is from RNAcentral.
GUUUGCAGCAAGCUCCGGGAGGGGAUUACAGAGUUAGGAUUGUGGAUUGUGGUUUAUGGGUAAAAUUUAACAUUAGAGUUUAGUGGUUAGAUGUCCCGGUAGUAUUUAGGGUUGGUCUUUAUAUUUAGGCUCAGGGGAUAGGUUAGAGUUAGGGGAAAGCUUUAGAUCUAGGAUGAGGGAUAAGUUUAAAGUUUUAGGGGGGAGGUACUCGGGAUUGAAUUCAACACUGAGCUACAUACCCAGCUCUAUAUUCUAUUUUAUUUAGAGACAGUGUCUCACUGAGUCGCUUAUUGCCUUAUUUUUGCUGAAGCUGGCUUUGAUAUCACGAUCCCCCUUUCUCAGCCUCCUGAGCUGCUGGGAUUACAGGUUUGUGCCACCUCACCUCACAUGAUAUGUAUAAAACCAAAGUGCUUUCAUUCCAAGCAAAUGUGCCUAGUUUUAAUAGGAUGCUACAAAAUGAACAGAACUUAUGCUCUUUUCACAUUACUUCUCUGAUUAGAAAUUAAAAAUGUAUUGCUGAUCUUUGAUUUCCUGAAUUCAGUUUUCAUCCAUUUUCCAAAUUUAUUCCAAGUGUGUCUUAGAAGCCUCAGAAUCGUUCUCUUGAGGAUAUUAUUCUCAUUGUUAAAGAAUACAAUAUGGACACAAAAAUCCUGUUUUAGUUAAAAAAAUUUUUUUUUGUUGUAGAUGGACCUUUAUUUUAUUUAUUAUUUUUUUGUGAUGCUAAGAAUCGAAUCCAGUGCCUCACGUGUGCUAAGCAAGUGCUGUACAGCUUAGCCCCAACUCCAGCCCACAAAAUCUUAUUUUUAAAAAUGUUUAUUUUUUUUCAAGAACUAAGAGAAUUUUAAUGGUUGCAUGAAUCAUGUGGUCUAGUGGUGCUCUCUGGACUUUGGAGACAUGCAGAGUUAGUCCUGAAUUCCAUGUGAUGAAUAGUUGUGUGCCUUUGAACAUUUUCUUUUUCUUCAAACUAUUGUAGGAGCCUCAUGUGUAAGAAAAGGCAGAAUGAUACUGAGUGCCAAAAUAUCAGCUAUUCUUCAUCCUUUUCUAUAUCUAUGAACUUGGCAAUGUAGUUUUCUUUUUGUCCUUUCAAAAUGGAGAAUCUGUUUCCAAAUCCUUGGCACUGAAAUGUAUUUGCUAUGGCUCAUAAUAAUCUGUUAAUUAUGAAAUUGUGUAGCCCAGUACCUAAUUUCUAAAGGUCUUGAUUUCUUUCUCAAACCCUAUCUUAUCCAUAUUAACAAGCCCCCAUUAACCUACUGGAGGAGGAGAUGUGGAGAAGAGUCAGUGCCCA